CUCAAAAAAGAAAAAAAAAGAAAGAAAGAAAAGAAAUACUGAGUGUCUUGACACUCCACAAAACAUAAUACUGGUCCAUAUUGAUGAUAUUAUGCUGAUUGGAUUUGAUGAGCAGGAAGUUACAAGUACUUUAGAUGUCUUAAUAAGACAUAUGUGAACCAUAUUGAAGGAGAUAAUACCCACAAAAAGCCAGGGGCUGGUCACCUGAGUGAAGGUUUGGGGAUUCAGUAGUCUGGAGAACACCGAAAUAUCUCCUCCAAGGCAAAAGACCAACUUCUGCAUUUUGUACUACCUACCACAAAGAGGCACAACUCUUGAUAAGCCUUUUUGGGUUUUGGAGGCAACAUGUAUCACAUUUGUGAAUCUACAGAGAUACUUGUAAGGCUUCCUGUUUCACAUGGGACCUGGGACAAAGAAGGCUCUGCUCUAAAUUCAGGCUAUAGUAUAAGCUGCUCUAUCACUUGUCCUUCUGACUCAACAGACCCAAUGAUACUUUAAGUGUGGCAAACAGUUGAUGUAUGUAGCUUCUCAAAAGGAUGAAUAGGAAAAUGACCACCUUGACCUCUAGAAUUUUUGAAUAAAAUCCAUGUCUUCUACAGAUAACUAUUCUCUUUUUGAGAACAGCUUCUGUCUUGCUACCAGGCCUUGGUAGAUACUGAAUGCCUAAUGCUUCCCGUCACAAACUCACCUUGCCAAGAGAUCAGGCAUGUGCACAGUCUAUCAUCAAAUGGACAUGGUAUAUAAGAGAUCAAGUUUGAGUAGGUCUGGAAUAUAUGAGUAGAUUUCAUAACAGGCACUUCAGAUUCCUUUGACACAAACUCCUGUUGCAUUGUGUCCUGUCCUUCACCCCAUGCCUGUGACCUCAUGAACUGCUCCUUAUGACCAGUUUACUGAGGAAAACACUUAGACCUGGUUACAGCUGAACCUAUGCAGUAAGCUGGCAAUACACAAAAGUGGACAGCCUCAGCAUUACAGGGGUGACCCUGGAGUAUGAUGGAGCUGCCUGCCUUGCCUGUAAUGCUUCUGCCAGCAACACCAUCUGUGGACUGACAGAAUGCUUUAUCCACAUUCACAGGAAUCCAGCCAUCAUCUGAGGAAGCAGUUCAUGUCGCAGCAAAGGAAGUUCUGUUCUCACCACAGCCCCUAUCUUCUGGAAGCAGCUGUCGUAAUUGAAAGGGUGCAUUUCUCACCUGCACUGUGGUCCAGGAAACUCAAGUCACCGUCCCCACCAUGUUCUUCCUGACUUCGAAGCAGUCUGGUGACCCCAGGCAGGAACUGACUAGCAUGAGAGUCUUGAUGCAGGAGAAUUUUUGAAGAAAUUCAGAAGCAGAACCGAAAGGAGGAGAGAAGCCACCUCCACCCUGUCCACUAACCUUCAGUGGGAACAGCAGAUGCAACUGGCGGGGCUGAAGGAAACAGCAGGCAGUGAGAUGGAGUGAGAACUGGAAUAAGGCAAGGAAUAUUGCUGAGAUGGUUCUCAAAUCAAUGGAGAGAGAUGUCCGUGGAUGAAUCACAAAGGGAGGGAAUGGGUGCAAAGGCCUCACUGAGAUCCAAUGACAGCAGAAGCUGCCAGGAUCUGACGUAAACCAGUUUGGUUGAAGUGUUGGGGGAGGCUAUAUGACCACAUUUUGUUUCUAUUGGCACAAUUCCAUACAUGGAAAAUGUCAUGAGACUCAAAAAUGGGUUCAGCAGAAGCUCAAAAAUAUGCUACAAAAUUCAGGAAGAAGCUAAAAUAUUAUCAGAUUAUUUUAUAAAGGACACAACUAGUCAGGAACCUUUUGAAAACACCAGCAUGCAUCAUCCAAAGAAGUAGAAUCCAAUUAAAAAAAAAAAAAAGACUGGGAGGAGUACAUCACAAAGGAGGGUGAGAUUUGGGAAGACAGUUACUCUAAGACCCUGUGAGCAAACUGCACCUGAUUCCAGAAAGACAGUUGGAGUCGAGGAGAGAAUGAAGCAACUUUACUGGCUGGGUUGAAGCCUACCCUAUCAGAACGGAAUAAGGCUAAUGCGGUUAUCAAGGUUCUCUUGAAGGAAAUAAUCCCCUGGUUUGGGUUGCCCCAAAGCCUCCAAAGUGAUAAUCGCUUGUCUUCUGCCUCCCAAAUAACUCAAAGGGUUGCUAAGGCUCUCAGAAUUAAAUACUAUUUACACUCAGCAUGGAGGCCUCAAUCCUCAGGGAAAGUAGAAAGGGCUAAUCAAACUCUAAAACUGGCAUUAGCUAAGCUAUGUCAGGAAACAUCAGAAACUUGGAUCAACUUACUGCCCAUAGCCCUCUUAAGAAACCAUUAUUCUCCAAGAGCAAAAAUUAAUAUAAGCCCAUAUAAAAUGUUAUAUGGGAGGCCAUUUUAACUAAUGAUCUAAUUACUGAUCCAGAAACGGCUGAGUUAAUAAAAUACCUAGUUAACCUAGGACAGUUUCAGCAGGUCUCGCAAGAGUUUGGAACUCAAAGGCUCCCCGCACCAGGAACUAACCAGCAAACCAAGGUCAGGCCAGGAGAUAAGGUACUUGUUAAAACAUGGAAUGAGGAGUCACCUGCUCAACAACUACAACCCUAAUGGAAGGGACUAUUUUCACUGGUGUUGGCCAUGCCUUCCAUGGCCAAAGUACUAGGAUUAGAUAGUUGGAUACCUCUUUCCAGGUUUAAGCCUGCAACAUCUGAAGCCCUGGACCUGGAACCGGAGACUCCCACCAGCCACUAUACCUGUGAACCCGUAGAAGACCUGAACUACCUAUUUAAAAGACAGUCAAAAGAUAAGUAAAUGCCUACCAAUUUUCCCUGGUGUAAAAUGUUAACUGAUUUUUGCUCUCUCACUUACAGAUGUUUGUAUAAGGGUUUCAGCCAAUUUUGGAACAAAAUUCAAAAUCAGGCCAAAAUACUUACCUGUUGUGACUAGAUCAAGCCAGCUGUACCUUUUAUAACCACGUACAAGGCUUGCCGCAACCCAUGGAUACCCACCUAAAUACUUAGGAAUAGAGAGCCAUGAUCCUCAGUAGGCAGGGACAAUGCCCAUGACCAGUAGAAAGUAGCUACAGAAAACUGAUCUUCAGCCCUUUUGCCUCCCAUAAAGAUUUAUGGGGAUCAUAUCUCUCAGAGGGAAAUGAGGCAGGAGAAUAGGGAAUUAGGGUAACCAGGGUUUCAGCUGGUGCAGCCAGUGCCGCAGGGGUGGAAGAACAGCAGGUGCAGCCAGUUCAAAUGAGCAGAAGAACAGCAGGUGCAGCAUAUAGGCCACAUCCUUGCUCCCAUGAUAACAAGCCACUUCAGCCUCCGAUUGGUCUCAGGCCAAUCCUUUAUGAGGUGUGGUCAAUUGGAGGCCUCUGAAGGGCACUGAGAGGUGUUGCCGGGUUUUUUCUUUAAUAAAAACCGUAAUUGAGGGGGCUCUUGAGCAGCCGCUUGCUCAAGCCCAAUCCCACUCUGAAUUUUCUUCAAUAAAUCUGUGCCCACACUGGCAUUUUGUUCAGUUCCUUGCCCAAUACACCAAGAACAGCAGGUGCAGCAUACAGGCCACAUCCUGGCUGGACAACUCACAUUUAGGACACUCUCUCCGGCAACAGGUGACAUCAUCCUCUUAGCCUGUCAAAAUGUUGGUAUUACAGGCAUGAGCUGCCCUGCCUGGCCUAUAACUUUUUUUGCUGAAAAAUAUUCCCUUGUAUGCAGGUAUUACAUUUAGCCAUUCAUCAGCUGGUGGACAUUUGAACUGUUUCCACUUUUGUUUACUAUGAAUAAAGCUGCUAUGAACACCUGUGUAAAGUUUUGCAUAGACAUGUUUUCAUUUCUGUAUAUAUAUCUAA
This 3786-nucleotide long non-coding RNA is filed under the name Homo sapiens (human). RNAcentral describes it as "HSALNT0399394". The record is from RNAcentral. Lineage: Eukaryota; Metazoa; Chordata; Mammalia; Primates; Hominidae.